RNAcentral lists this ribosomal RNA (301 nucleotides) under uncultured bacterium. RNAcentral describes it as "partial 16S ribosomal RNA". It matches the Rfam family "Bacterial small subunit ribosomal RNA", at positions 509 to 807 of the family's 1533-position model. The record is from RNAcentral.
CAGCCGCCGCGGGAAUACGGAGGGUGCAAGCGUUAAUCGGAAUUACUGGGCGUAAAGCGCACGCAGGCGGUCUGACAAGUCAGAUGUGAAAUCCCCGGGCUUAACCUGGGAACUGCAUUUGAAACUGUCAGGCUGGAGUCUUAUAGAGGGGGGUGGAAUUCCAGGUGUAGCGGUGAAAUGCGUAGAGAUCUGGAGGAAUACCGGUGGCGAAGGCGGCCCCCUGGACAAAGACUGACGCUCAGGUGCGAAAGCGUGGGGAGCAAACAGGAUUAGAUACCCGAGUAGUCCCUGUCUCUUAUAC